RNAcentral lists this ribosomal RNA (102 nucleotides) under Pteropus alecto (black flying fox). Lineage: Eukaryota; Metazoa; Chordata; Mammalia; Chiroptera; Pteropodidae. The record is from RNAcentral.
GUCUACGGCCAUGCCACCCUGAACAAGCCUGAUCCCGUCUGAUUUCGGGCCUGGUUAGUAGUUGGAUGGGAGAUCACCUAGGAAGACCAGGUGCUGUAGGCU